CCACGGAAAUUAAUUAUUUUUUAAUACUUUUGAUAAAAGUACAAAUAAUAAUAAAUAACUGGGGUGAAGUCGUAACAAGGUAGCUGUACUGGAAGGUGCGGCUGGAUAAAUUACAAU
Non-coding RNA from Myotis davidii, 117 nucleotides. Lineage: Eukaryota; Metazoa; Chordata; Mammalia; Chiroptera; Vespertilionidae. The record is from Rfam.